Molecule: unclassified non-coding RNA, 336 nt
Filed under: soil metagenome
Description: partial contains 5.8S ribosomal RNA, internal transcribed spacer 2, and large subunit ribosomal RNA
Rfam family: 5.8S ribosomal RNA (bases 1-120)
Source: RNAcentral
GAUGAAGAACGCAGCGAAAUGCGAUAAGUAGUGUGAAUUGCAGAAUUCAGUGAAUCAUCGAAUCUUUGAACGCACAUUGCGCCCCUUGGUAUUCCAUGGGGCAUGCCUGUUCGAGCGUCAUCUGUACCUUCAAGCUUUGCUUGGUGUUGGGUGUUUGUCUCGCCUUUGCGUGUAGACUCGCCUUAAAAUAAUUGGCAGCCGGCGUAUUGAUUUCGGAGCGCAGUACAUCUCGCGCUUUGCACUCAUAACGACAGCGUCCAAAAGUACAUUUUACACUCUUGACCUCGGAUCAGGUAGGGAUACCCGCUGAACUUAAGCAUAUCAAUAAGCGGAGGA